UUAAAGGAAUUGACGGAAGGGCACCACAAGCAGUGGGGCUUGCGGCUUAAUUUGACUCAACGCGGGGAAACUCAUCAGGCCAGGACACUGGAAGGAUUGACAGAUUGAGAGCUCUUUCUUGAUUCGGUGGGCGGUGGUGCAUGGCCGUUUUUGGUUGGUGGAGCGAUUUGUCUGGUUAAUUCCGUUAACGAACGAGACCCUGGCCUGCUAACUAGUCGAUACCGGCAUCCUUGGUGCAGCCGGCGACGUCAAAUCUUCUUAGAGGGACAGGCGGCUCCUAGCCGCACGAAAUUGGGCAAAAACAGGUCUGUGAUGCCCUUAGAUGUUCUGAGCAGCACGCGUGCCACACUGAAGGAAUCAACGUGUGUUCUCCUUGGCCGAGAGGCCCGGGUAACCCGCUGAAUGUCCUUCGUGCUAGGGAUUGGGGCUUGUAAUUAUUCCCCACGAACGAGGAAUUCCUAGUAAGCGGAAAUCAUUACUUUCCGUUGAUUAUGUCCCUGCCCUUUGUCCACACCGCCCGUCGCUACUACCGAUUGAAUGAUUUAGUGAGGUCUUCGGACCGGUGCGCGGGGUCCGCGAGGACGCCGCUGCGACUGGGAAGAUGACCAAACUUGAUUAUUUAGAGGAAGUAAAAGUCGUAACAAGGUUUUC
RNAcentral lists this ribosomal RNA (651 nucleotides) under Cearacesaini sp. Bra. RNAcentral's name for it is "bacterial SSU rRNA". It matches the Rfam family "Eukaryotic small subunit ribosomal RNA", at positions 1144 to 1804 of the family's 1831-position model. The record is from RNAcentral. Lineage: Eukaryota; Metazoa; Arthropoda; Insecta; Orthoptera; Gryllidae.